Molecule: long non-coding RNA, 4050 nt
Filed under: Homo sapiens (human)
Lineage: Eukaryota; Metazoa; Chordata; Mammalia; Primates; Hominidae
Description: HSALNT0303154
Source: RNAcentral
GGCAAAGAGGUAACGGGGCUUGGAUUUACCACAACUCUGCGGCCACGUUUUCAAAUUUGGAAAAGCACAGAUGAGAAAAGAAGGUUCAGGCGAUUUAUGCGAGAAAGGGCCAAUUUGAACACUGGUAACUAGUGGGAGAAAUAAACUUAUAAGCCACAAACACAUCGGUUCGCAACCGAGCCCACAGCCCCGCGAGGCGCCCCUUCUUCCCAGCUCCCGGAGGAUAACUUCAUUGACUGGCAGGUCGGCGGCCACUUCUGGGAGGGCCACUGUUUACCGAAUGAGAACCUCUCAUGGCACAGUCCUUACAGCAGGGCUGCCCUGUCGCCCUUGCGCGUCCGGGUGCCGGGUCCCGGCGGUGUUCUGCAGCGCGAUCCGGUCCCCGUGCCCUGAGCCACCCAGAGCCCUGGGCCUGCCUGCACCCUGGGGCGCGCUGACUCCCUGGGUCGGGUGGGGGUCCCGGCAGGAUGCACUUCCAGCUGCGGGGUCCGCGGAGUUUGCUCGCACCUGGUUUGGCGCAGGGACGUAGGUUUGGGGGACUGUGUCCCCUGGGAAGAGCAAAAGGUGAAAAGGUCCCCUCUCCCACCAGUGUGCCCCAUCCCCGCCAGUUUUGACUGCGAUCCUAUUUUUCUCUUUGGGGGUCGCCUCAGCCUGUGCCGGAGGGAGUUGGGAGUUGGUCAGGCUUGGGCAGCGGUGGGUGGCAGCCCGGGAGCCGGAGCAGGAGCGCGAGGACCCGCGGACUGGGGCGCAGCGACGAUGGCGCACCGGCUUCUGUCUUCUGCUGCUUUGGGGCUGAGCAUCCGAGGGCGCCUUUCUCCCCAGCUGGACUCGGGGACGCCGGAUCACCCCGCCACCUGCCUCUUGGCCUAAUUCUGGAAGCUUCUCGCCUCCGUUCCUGGACGGCUCUUCCUCAGGGGCAGCAAUGAGCCCCGGGGUGCGCUCAUCUCCUCCGAGAUCAAUUGCUCUACGAUUCCUUUUAGGACUUGCAGGGGGGAGAGGUUGGGGACCCCGGCCCCAGAGUGGCUCCUGCGGCACGGCGGCCCACUCGGAGGGGUCGCAACAAGCGCGCAUUUGUGGCCAAGGUUGUGAUUUCAGGUGCGCUAAUGGGAUCAGACGUCCUGGGAGAAGCGUGAGGGGAUUGGUGCCGUUCCUUCUCCCGGCUUCCAGCGGCCGCCGGGUGGAAGUGGGGACACAGGAGGGCCGCGCUACGGGCGCCCAGCGCGGGCGCUCACACCUCUUGAGGAGGCGUGGAACCCAGCGCCCCAGGUGGGGGUAGGGCGCGGGGGUAUAGGUAGUGAGGGGUGACGCUGGGAGAGGACCGGGAGACGGAGGAAAGGAGACAGCCGGGGACACUACUGAGAGAGGGAGUAAGAGAGUGCGCUGCAGAACCGGGGACAGAGCGGCAGAACCGACCGAGAGCUGGAAUUGGAUUGCGUCCUGUCCCAGCACCAGGACACAGAUAAACAGCCUCCCAGCACUGGUACUCGCCAGAGAAGGGGAAACCCGCGUCCCGCGCUGCUGCUUUCUGCUUCGGAGAACCUUAUCUAGACUUUUGCAUAAUUGCGUGUUGGCUUUCCUAAAUAAUUCGGAAGAGCGAUUUCUGCUUCCACUUGUUCACAUAGGCAAACAAUCCCUGUGGGGAAAAUGUGUGUGUGUGUGUGUGUGUGUGCGCGCGCGCGCGCGCGCGUUCCGGUGACAAUUGAGGCCAGAGGCAAACACAUCCUCUUUCAAAAUGUCCCUUAGGUGAUCCCGUAAAUGACUGUCCUGCUCUAGGCAGUGGGAGUCAUCAUCCACUGGGUAGGGGGCUGUGAUUACUCUGCCUAGGGACCACUUUUCACAGCUCCUUCCCCACCGUAGAUAAGGGUGUUAAAUCAAGGCAUUUAGUUCUACUUUUCCAUUGCACAGAUAAGCAAGCUGAGACCCAGAUAGGUUAAGUGAAGUAUCCAAUUUCUUCUCUCCUUUUCUUUUCUGUAUGCCUCAAGAUGGUUUUAUACACACACACACACACACACAUACAUACACACACACACACACCCUGAACUACGAAAAACAUCACAACUACGGAAGAAACAUUUUUUACUCUUCUUAUUUCCUAAGAAGACCAAAAGUCAGAGCUUGUCUUCUGUCAGAAGCAGAUGGGUGUGUGAUGGCAGUGUGUGAGUGUGCAAGUGUGGGGGGGCUGGGCGUUGGCGCCAUCCUUCCUCCUUCCCUGCUCCAUCCCUGACUCCAUCACCGAGCCCCUUCAGGGAAACACAAGGCAGGAGGUUGUACCGCUAUGCAGAAGACCCCUCCAGGUAGGGAGCUUGAAGAAAUGAAACAGCAGGGAGAACCUGUAUUUGGUGGUGAAAGUGCUGGAAUCUUCUAGGCCUUGCUCAUCUCCAACCAGCUACUUCUCCAAAAUAAAGCAAAACAAAACAAAACAAAACAAGGCAAACAACAACCACCACAGGCCUUUUGCAUCAACUUCCUGUGACUAAGUGACCCUAAGCAGAGAACUGGCUCAGGUCACUUAGGGCAGGGGUAGGACAUUGAAGGCCUUAUUUACUCCAGGAUUAAAAACAGCAUCCCCUCUAACCCUGUCUCUCUUGGGCAGCCUGUCUUUUAAGGAUGUGAAAAGCAGCUUCUUGGAGUCUAAACAGGCACAAUACCCCACUGGGAUGUUUAGGUAUCAGGUUCACAAAAACAGCAUUUUACUCCUGCUUCCCCGAACCCCUUUGCAACCCAGGCUACCAUACUCUUUGCAAGAAUAUCCGGUAUCUUUUCCGGGCAAAAUGAAUUGAGUUGGCACUUCCUGAAAUAUUUUUAUUUUUAGCUUCAAAUAAUUUUGCUCCUAAAACAAAUUAGUUACUUAUCCUCUUCUCACCAUGCCCUAAUUAUUUUUAGCUUUAUUCUAAUUUUUUUUGUUACCUUGAAUUUUGUCUUGAUUUGAGAGUUUGGUAUAGAAUACUUGUUUGCAGACUGGUAAUCUGCAGUUUAUUUUGUUUUUAAAAAACUCUGUGAAGUUUACUGUUGUUUUAAAACUCAUGGAAUAUUAACAAAAAAUAACCUAAUAAUAUUCUUCGAGGCUUAAACUUUGGUUAUAGUCUAUGUCCUAGCCUAGCUUUUAUGAUAAGCCUGUUGCAUUUUAAAGGUGCUUAUUGAUUCACAUGUCUUUCAGUAAAAAAUCUUUUGAGGAACCCAGACUUUUGAAAGCUAUUUAAUUUGCAUGUAUUUGGUCAUUACAGGCUAAAACUGAAGAAUGAGUUUGGAAAUUGGUUCUAUUAGAAAACACUGUUUGCACAUCCAAAUGUUCCCAGUCAAGAUUUCCCAAUAGUGGCAGUGAGAAAGAGAGGCAGAGAGAAUUAGGAUACUUGGGUUCAAAUUUUAGCUUAGUCACUGAUGGGCUGAUUGAGUGAGAAGAACUUAAUCACCUGCAAAAUGAAUUGCUUACAGUAUUUUGAUCUCUAAAUACACUUUUGAUUCUGAUAUUUAAUGAUUUUGUAUUACAAAAUUGGGCAGAAAACGCAUAGCUUCAUAACAAGCAAAAAAUUUUACUGUUAACACAUCAUACUUAUUUUAGAGUAAAUUUGAAGGAGGUUGAUGUUUUGGAAUUUGGUUGGAGAGUUAUCCAAAAGCAAUGUUUCCCUGACUCAACUACAACCAAUUACACACAGUGGCCAGUAGGAAAAGGAUUAAGUUGUCCAGACAAAAUAUAAUGGUAACAAAAAAUAAUCUUGUGCUUUUGACAUCUUUCUGUUUACUUGUUUUUGUCUUGUUCUAAUGCCCCCUGAAUUACUAUUUUCUAAAAAACAGUCUCAUCUAAAAUAAAACAUAGUAAUGUGUUUUCAAAUGAGACAUUUUAUUGUAGUUACGAUUUCUUUUGUAUAUUUUCCUAAUGCAGACUACAAUAAAUACACUAAAAUAUUUCAAAUGGUUUGCUUGUGUAUAUGCUCUUAAGUCGUCUUUAUCCCACUUUGGGAAGCAUAUGCUGUGUUCUGAACAGUUUUAACUUUAUAUAUCAGCAUGACUAAGUCCUUUCAACAACUAUCACGCAAAGACCACGGAGAGCAG